GACGAACGCUGGCGGCGUGCUUAACACAUGCAAGUCGAACGGAAAGGCCCUGCUUUUGUGGGGUGCUCGAGUGGCGAACGGGUGCGUAACACGUGAGUAACCUGCCCUUGACUUUGGGAUAACUUCAGGAAACUGGGGCUAAUACCGGAUAGGAGCUCCUGCUGCAUGGUGGGGGUUGGAAAGUUUCGGCGGGUGGGGAUGGACUCGCGGCUUAUCAGCUUGUUGGUGGGGUAGUGGCUUACCAAGGCUUUGACGGGUAGCCGGCCUGAGAGGGUGACCGGCCACAUGGGGACUGAGAGACGGCGCAGACUCCUACGGGAGGCAGCAGUGGGGAAUAUUGCACAAUGGGCGGAAGCCUGAGGCAGCAACGCCGCGUGCGGGAUGACGGCCCGCGGGUUGUAAAACGCUUUCGCCUGUGACGAAGCGUGAGUGACGGUAAUGGGUAAAGAAGCACCGGCUAACUACGUG
This 468-nucleotide ribosomal RNA is filed under the name uncultured bacterium. RNAcentral's name for it is "partial 16S ribosomal RNA". It matches the Rfam family "Bacterial small subunit ribosomal RNA", at positions 28 to 507 of the family's 1533-position model. The record is from RNAcentral.